Non-coding RNA from Camellia sinensis, 424 nucleotides. Lineage: Eukaryota; Viridiplantae; Streptophyta; Magnoliopsida; Ericales; Theaceae. The record is from RefSeq and is a predicted model, not a curated record.
AAGAAAAAAAAAAAAAGGAAGAGAGAAACCGUGAGAGAGAGAGAGAGAGAGAGGGGGAGGUGCUGGAAAUUCAACAAGGAGUCGAAAUUUUGAAGGAAGAAAGGAAAAUUUACCAAACAUGCUGGAAAUAAGUUUUAGGUCACGCGCCAUUGUCUGCCUGAUUUAUCCGAUAUGUCCAGUCCGUCUGAUUUGCUUCUGCGGCUAUCAGUGAUCAGGCGCGUGACCAGGCUUAGAGGCAUCUGCCUAGAAUCUGUUUUUGUCAGCCAACCUAUGUGCCUCCAGUGGAGGUUCUGGAUAUGUCAAGUGAUUGUCGCUAAGUGAUUUAAAGUUUAAGUUCUGUUUUCUUGUUUGGUUAAACAAGUCUUGUGUAUUUUUGUAAAUGGGGCUAAGUCGCUUUUUGUCUAAUCUGUAUAUAUAGGAUGAC